CGAGGAUCUUCGGCAAUGGACGAAAGUCUGACCGAGCAACGCCGCGUGUGCGAUGAAGGCCUUCGGGUUGUAAAGCACUGUCGAGGGGAAACAAGCCGUAAGGUUGAGUGACCCCUGGAGGAAGCACGGGCUAAGCUCGUGCCAGCAGCCGCGGUAAGACGAACCGUGCAAACGUUAUUCGGAAUCACUGGGCUUAAAGGGCGCGUAGGCGGGGGAUCAAGUCAAUGGUGAAAUCCUCCAGCCUAACU
RNAcentral lists this ribosomal RNA (248 nucleotides) under uncultured Gemmataceae bacterium. Its description in RNAcentral is "partial 16S ribosomal RNA". It matches the Rfam family "Bacterial small subunit ribosomal RNA", at positions 356 to 614 of the family's 1533-position model. Lineage: Bacteria; Pseudomonadati; Planctomycetota; Planctomycetia; Gemmatales; Gemmataceae. The record is from RNAcentral.